CCUACGGGAGGCAGCAGUGGGGGAUAUUGCACAAUGGGGGAAACCCUGAUGCAGCGACGCCGCGUGGGCGAAGAAGUAUUUCGGUAUGUAAAGCCCUAUCAGCAGGGAAGAAGAAAGGAGGGAACCGGAGUAAGAAGCACGGGCUAAAUACGGGCCAGAAGCCGCGGUAAUACGGAGGGGGCAGGCGUUAUCCGGAUUUACUGGGGGUAAAGGGAGGGAAGGCGGCACGGCAAGCAUGAUGGGCAAGGCCGCGGCCCAACCGGGGACCUGCAUUUGGAACUACCGGGCUGGAGUGCCGGAGAGGUAGGCGGAAUUCCUAGUGUAGCGGUGAAAUGCGUAGAUAUUAGGAGGAACACCAGUGGCGAAGGCGGCCUACUGGACGGUGACUGACGCUGAGGCUCGAACGCGUGGGGAGCAAACAGGAUUAGAUACCCUAGUAGUC
This 442-nucleotide ribosomal RNA is filed under the name uncultured bacterium. RNAcentral describes it as "partial 16S ribosomal RNA". It matches the Rfam family "Bacterial small subunit ribosomal RNA", at positions 338 to 795 of the family's 1533-position model. The record is from RNAcentral.